AUCUCUCUGUAUCUAUCUGUCUCCAUAAAACCCCACUUAGAACCUCUCCAUACAAACCAAAAAGAGAGAAAAGAAACGAAAACCCAUCAAGGAAAAUUGAAAACAAGAACUGGGUCUGUCUCGGAAAUGGCGACCGGCACUGUUUUCUCCUUGAUCAUCAACAUGCUUUUUGUCCUCUUACUGUUAUCUUCUUCCUCCUCGAAUGUCGCCACGGCAGGGAGGGAUAUACCCUCUAGUGUUCCGAGCACCAUGAGGCCAUUAUCAGUCGAUUACGUCAAGAUGAAUCCUCGCCUGAACCCCGGCCACCGACCGGUUUUCCACGAGAAGGAAGUGAAGAGUUGCUUGCCGAAAGGGUUGAGGAAGUCAUCGGCACCGAGCCGGGACGUAAAUUAUGAGCCGCUUGGUUCAGCCAGGUGCUCGCCGAGCAACGACAAGGUGCACCAUGGGAAGCCUUGAAUUGAAGAGAAAGAAUUAUGAACUCUUGAGGUUUUAUAACUAUAUGUACUGUUCUUUUUGUAUAUGUUCCAUGUCCAAUGGGAAUUUUUCUUCUUUUUUUUUUUUUCCCUUCAUUUUUUUCUUUCAAUUUUGUUCUUUUCUUUCUUUUUUCAGGCAAAUUAGAAUUAAGGGUGUGUUUGUUUGAUUACUCAUGUUUGGAACAAGUUACAAAAUUUGUAGGAUUCAAUUACGAAUUUGCAAUUAUAGUUAUAUAAAUUCUACAAUAAGAUGGUGAAAGUUGAGCAUGUAUUAUUUCCUUGUACGAAAUUUCCCUUCUAAUUGAAAGGAUCCGCCUAUCAAGAUUUUAAAUGCUUCAUUCUAAUUUUACUUGACAUUUUCAUAUGGUAGGAAAGCAUUUUUCCUACAAUUCAAGUUUUUUGUGGUAAAGUUUUAUAAUUAAACAUUAUUUCUUUAGAAUGACUAAUGGGUAUUUGUAAAUUUACUCGAUUUUUUUCCUUUUAAAAAGAAAAGAGAGAAUUUUGGUAGGCUCCAAAAACAGGGGAGAAAAAAGUUUGAACUUUUGAACCAAUGACAUGUAGGUAUCAAUGAACAAAU
RNAcentral lists this long non-coding RNA (1050 nucleotides) under Carica papaya (papaya). RNAcentral's name for it is "long non-coding RNA (CPAP_LNC008046)". Lineage: Eukaryota; Viridiplantae; Streptophyta; Magnoliopsida; Brassicales; Caricaceae. The record is from RNAcentral.